UUAAUUAUGUCAAUCUAUUGGGAGUGUUAUAUAAAGCAACUGUUAUUGCCAGGCGUUCUCUAUAGCUACCGCGCUCUAUGUGACAAACUGCAUAGUUUUGCAGUUUGAUCAAGUGCCCUAAGCAAUUGCAGUGAAUACCUGGCAAGUGAAAUGGUUUUCAGAGCACAUCUGUAUAUCGCAGCAAUGUUGAUGAUUCUGCUGAUCCACAAAGCAAAAAGUCUUCCAUAUCUGGACCCUGUGGACGAAUGCAUUCUUACAUGCGAUGCUUGCUACAAAGGGGAAUUUUUGCUAGACUGUGCAAACGACUGCAUCUUCCAAUCAGGCGACGUGGGUCAACCAUUUAAAAACCACUGCCCACAAUUUGAUAUGAAACUACCCAGUGUUCAAAUGGUUUAGCAAUGACGUCAAUAGAAAUAUUGUAAACGAGCUGCUCAUUUAAUACAGUAAAGCAAUGGAGUAAUUAAUUACG
Molecule: long non-coding RNA, 469 nt
Organism: Dendroctonus ponderosae (mountain pine beetle)
Lineage: Eukaryota; Metazoa; Arthropoda; Insecta; Coleoptera; Curculionidae
Exons: 2
Source: RefSeq, a predicted model, not a curated record